AUGGACAGAUGCCCACAAAUUUCCAUAACAGACAAGGGACUUCUAUGCACAUCCACUGCUAAUGGAUGUGAAAUUACUCAGUGUGUUUUAUCUGCAGGGCUUCUCCUUCAUAAUACCUGUGGGGUAAUUUGCAAAGCGGUUUUUGUAUCAUCUCCUUAUUUAAUUUUCUUCCUUGAUGUCUCCAACCAGAAUGAGAUCAGAAUGGUGAUGUCUUCAUACGGCUCUGCUUCAAAGCUGCAUUCAGCUCGUAAGCAAGGGGCUGCAGGAGUAAUAGGUAGCAAUCUCUCUUCUUGCUGCCCUAAUAUCACUACAGACCAGCUCCAGAAACCAAAAUACAGCGAUGGCCAGAUCCAGACAGUCUGUCUUCAGCUUCAAAUAUGUCAAAGCCAGCAGCCUCCUGAGCACUGCCUGGAUUAUCAGAGAGAGAUGAGGAGAUGUAGCUGCUGCCACAAAGCACCCAUCAUCUAGGAAAGGAGAGAGCACAGGAGAGAGGAAGCAUUUCAAGCCUCCUGCGAUUUGACUCAUUGUUUAUUCGGAGGGUUUGAUUUGUAAAUGGGAGGAAAUUCGCUUCCAUUAACUUGUCAUUCCACACCAAACACAAGUUGCAUGAAUUAUAGCCUUUACUAACCAAAAAGGCACACAAAAAGCCUUGCUGCUCCGUGUCGGUUGCUCUGCACAAAAUGCAGUUAGCAAUAAUAUUUGCUCUUCUGAACUACCAGGAGCCAAAGAGGAGAUGUCAAGUUACUGAAUGCACCAGCACUGAUGCAGACACAACCCAAUUCCUCGGGGCAGCUGCACAGGGGAGUGGGGCACAGGGGCCAAAUGUUUUUCCCCCUUACCUGGAAGCACAUUUGUUGGCCUGCAGAGGAAUUGUUUCCUUUCAAGCAGCAAAAAUCCACCGCGUUAGAGACUUGGAAGCCAGAUAAAAUAGGCACCUAGGAAUAUAGACAUGGAAGAGAAGAGAGAGACAGAAGUUUUGUGUCAGUUAUAGAUUUAAAUUCACAUUGAUCUUAAUUUUUAAGACAUUUAGAUUGUUUUUGUGACAGGUAUUGUGUAGGCUGUUAGCCACAGUUUGAGGUUGUUUUUAUUUUUCAGUUUGAACUUAGAUACCAGUUUAAAAGAAAAAAAAACAAAAAAACUAACAUAACGUUGAGACAUGCUAAAACUUAAUGAAUGCAAGACUGAAGCCAAAGCAGCUCUGCAAUAAUCAUUGAAAUUGGAAAUGCAGCUGCGAGUCACCUGUGAUAUAACUUACAUUACCUCAGCAUUUGAACACAUAGAGCCUUCACUUUUUCCAAAAUCUCAGUCCAAUACAGACCUGGAUUGUUCUCAGACAGGGUUUCAUAUCCAGGAGUAGCUUAUCAGACAUCCUGUACCCAGGAGCUGGGAUGAUCUAAGAACUUUGCAGCUGCCCCCCCAAGCCUGCAUCUUCGCUUCUCUGUACAGAUCCUUCUAAAAUAUUUAGCUAAUUCUUCAUGAAAAAAAAGAGUGGAUUUAGAAAUAGUCACAUUUACACCCAAUUUUUCUCUCGCUUGGGAAUGGGAGAAAAAUGACUUCAGAUAGAAUAGAAAUUCAGGAUCUAUGCGAUUUCUCGCUCAAAACAGCCACUUAGAGGAAAUUGUGUGCACAAAAAUGAGCAACUGCACGUAGGAACCACAGACUUGCAGACCUCAGUACUGGUAGCAGCCUCUGCGAGAAAGUCUGCAGGGAAAACACUAGACUGCCUUUUACCUCCUCUGCCUUCUUCACAGCUAGCGUGUUUGAUGAAAGAUUUAACAAAGCUCAUUUAGCUGUCGUUAUGUUUCCACACAAACACGGCAUAGAAUGUGAGGGAAGGAAGCUUGCUGCUUCUUUGCAUGGAUAACAAAAAUCCUUUGUCGUUUAAUUGCUUUCCUUUCCAAGUAGAGGAAAGGGGGAUUUAAUAGCAGAGAGCAGCUGGGCUGUGUUCAGCCCCUGAUCUCAGCAGCAGGGCCCCACCACGGCCACCCAAACCUCAGCUGCAGCAUCAGAACCGUACCCAGAGCUCCGACCACGUGCUGCAAACAGCACACUGUCCUGAACCAUGACGUGCAUCGUCAGGAGCCAAAGAUCUGCAUACCAGAAGCUGGAUAAAGCCAGUUAAGAAUCUGAAAUGAAAUUAAUUUCCAAAAAAAAAACCUAGGUAUUUCUCUUAAAGUACCUGUACAGAAAUUGAAGCUGCGAUAAAGUCUUGACACUCAAUAUCUGCUAAGGUGUUUCUAUAAAAUGUGGGAAAUGCCAGGUCACACAACUUCCCAAACCAAUUUGCCUACAAGAAAGAUCCAACUGUCUUUAUUUUUCUUCUGAUGGCAAUUCCCAGGAUGCCAGAGCAUUCCCCUUGUACUUCAUUCCCUCUGGAACUGGUCCUUGAAGACAUCUUACCUAACACUGAGAGUGUUCUUGAGCACUCUUAUCUAACCUGUGUUAGUUUAAUUUAUCCCCAGGGUGUUUUGGUGAAGCAAAAUCCAUAGCUUGGGAAACCUUGAACCAUCACCUGCCCAGAGUGCCUGCAGCCUCUCUGCCUCCAAAACCAGAAAAGCCAGCAGUCAUCUCUUCAUCAGAGCAGAGCAGCACUGUUACCUGCUGCCCCGUGUUUUUAAAAACUCCACUGGAUUUAUGACAUGGAGAUAAAUUCAGCCCUGAAUUUUGCAAGCAGUUGCCUGAAUAAAUCAUGUCUGCAAAGUCCCUGUAAAUUCA
Molecule: long non-coding RNA, 2715 nt
Filed under: Anas platyrhynchos platyrhynchos (common mallard)
Lineage: Eukaryota; Metazoa; Chordata; Aves; Anseriformes; Anatidae
Description: lncRNA (ENSAPLG00000027326.1)
Source: RNAcentral